Long non-coding RNA from Melospiza melodia melodia, 1370 nucleotides. RefSeq lists it as uncharacterized. NCBI's taxonomy places the organism in Eukaryota, Metazoa, Chordata, Aves, Passeriformes, Passerellidae. The transcript has 7 exons. The record is from RefSeq and is a predicted model, not a curated record.
GGGGCGGCUGCCCUCGGGCUGGCGGAGGCGCCGGAGGAGCCCCCGAGCUGCAGCCGUCUCCCUCGGGCUGCUGCCGGUGCUGCGGGCGGAGGCGGCUCCGCCGCGUGUUGGGCGCUGCGAGCAGGGAGCGCUGCGGUAUCGCCGGCAUGACGGGGCUGCUGCCUGCGUUAGUGCUCGUGGCUCUUUGUGCCGUGACAGCGGAUGGAGCGGCGCUGGGCGGUAAAGCCAGAGAUGGCCGGGAGAAUGCCCAGCGCAGGGAGCGGGCGGGCUGUGUGCUUCGGAUGGCACAGGAUACUCAGAAAAUAUGUCUCCCUUAGAGUCCCACAGAAACGUUCUCAGUGCGAUCUCUAUCAAGUGCUAUGAGUCUUGAUCAAUUGGAGAAGAGCCCAAGAGAAAUUUUUCAUCCCUUGAUAUAAAAGGGAUCGGUGAAUUUUAACUUUGGAGUCCCCUAUGCUAAGGAUGCUCAGCUUACAGGUGAUGAAAUGUUCAGUAAUGUAUUUGCUGCAGCUCUGCUUACCCAAGCUUUGGGUUCCUUCUGUCCCACUGGGAGUUGCCCAAUUUGGUUGCAUCUGGUGAAAUUCACCCUGAGACCUUACAGAACCAGCUCCAACUACGUGAGAGCCAUUUGCAGUUCUCUCCAGACGCCUGGAGAAUGGGCGACGUUUCUGAGGAUCCGGCGAGCGUGCUUCUGUCAAAACUCAGUCUGUGAAAUUCCUGGGGAAAACCCUUCUGUGUCCUGAAGGGUUCAAACUCUGGUGAGGAUCCAGUUAUCAGGUGCUCACCUGGAUGGUUCCAGCUCCCAAAGGGAAAGACUCUCGUGUCCUUGUCGUCGGGCUCGGUGCUGUCCAAGAAGAUACGGGGACUAAAAAAAUCAUAAGAAGCAAAAUACGACUGCAGGGAAAAGAAGCUGGAGAGAACAGAAGAGCCCUGUUGUACUAAUCUUCAUACAAGUACAAAACAAAAAAUCAGACCCUGUCCCAAGCACUUAGAGGCCAGAACACGAUUUCCUCGGGCUGCCAUUUGUGUGCCAUCGGUACUCACCAUGGAAGCGAGCUGGGGAUUGUUGCAGCUGUUGGGAACAAACCGCUUCUCGUCACACAGAAAUGGAAUUGGGACGACGCCUCGGCCAGCCCCUUUCUGCCAUCGUCUCCUGAAUCUGCAGCAGAGCAGUUCCAGUCCAUCCCGGCACGUGUAAUCCAGUUCCUGAUGAUCUGAGCACACGGAGCAGCGCUCAGCUGCUGUGGGGGGCUCAGGGAAGGCAGAGUGUGCAUUGUCAUCUUCCUGAACCUACAGACAAAUCAAAGUGAGAAGCCACAGCGUGGAAAUCAGUCCCAUAUAUGCUAAAUAAAACUUGCAGAUUUUUUUAAGAA